RNAcentral lists this ribosomal RNA (356 nucleotides) under Mesorhizobium sp. RNAcentral's name for it is "partial 23S ribosomal RNA". It matches the Rfam family "Bacterial large subunit ribosomal RNA", at positions 2596 to 2925 of the family's 2925-position model. The record is from RNAcentral. Lineage: Bacteria; Pseudomonadati; Pseudomonadota; Alphaproteobacteria; Hyphomicrobiales; Phyllobacteriaceae.
GUACGCGAGCUGGGUUUAGAACGUCGUGAGACAGUUCGGUCCCUAUCUGCCGUGGGCGUUGGAAGAUUGAGAGGGGUUGCUCCUAGUACGAGAGGACCGGAGUGAACGCACCACUGGUGUUCGGGUUGUCAUGCCAAUGGCACUGCCCGGUAGCUAAGUGCGGAAAAGAUAAGCGCUGAAAGCAUCUAAGCGCGAAACUUGCCUCAAGAUGAGUCUUCCCUGGGACCUUGAGUCCCCUGAAGGAACGUUUAAGACUAAGACGUUGAUAGGCUGGGUGUGUAAGUGCAGCGAUGCAUUGAGCUAACCAGUACUAAUGAACCGUGAGGCUUAACCUUACAACACCGAAGGUGUUUUAG